GACGAACGCUGGCGGCGUGCUUAACACAUGCAAGUCGAACGGAGUGGCGAACGGGUGAGUAACACGUGGGUGACCUGCCCUGCACUUCGGGAUAAGCCUGGGAAACUGGGUCUAAUACCGGAUAGUGUGGGAUGGGCACGGGGCCUAUCGGCUUGUUGGUGGGGUACUGGCCUACCAAGGGGGCGGCGGGGAGCCGGCCUGAGAGGGUGGACGGGCACAUGGGGCCUGAGGUACGGCGCAGACUCCUACGGGGGGCAGUAGUGGGGAAUAUGGCACAAUGGGCGGAAGUCUGAUGCAGCGACGCCGCGGGGGGGAUGACGGCCUUCGGGUUGUAAACUCCUUUGACCAUCGACGCGGUAGAUGGAGAAGAAGCACCGGCUAACUACGUGCCAGCCGCCGCGGUAAUAC
This 408-nucleotide ribosomal RNA is filed under the name uncultured bacterium. Its description in RNAcentral is "partial 16S ribosomal RNA". It matches the Rfam family "Bacterial small subunit ribosomal RNA", at positions 28 to 526 of the family's 1533-position model. The record is from RNAcentral.